CCUACGGGAGGCAGCAGUGAGGAAUAUUGGUCAAUGGACGAGAGUCUGAACCAGCCAAGUAGCGUGAAGGAUGACUGCCCUAUGGGUUGUAAACUUCUUUUAUAUGGGAAUAAAAUGUUCCACGUGUGGGAUUUUGUAUGUACCAUAUGAAUAAGGAUCGGCUAACUCCGUGCCAGCAGCCGCGGUAAUACGGAGGAUCCGAGCGUUAUCCGGAUUUAUUGGGUUUAAAGGGAGCGUAGGUGGGUUGUUAAGUCAGGUGUGAAAGUUUGGGGCUCAACCGUAAAAUUGCAGUUGAAACUGGCAGUCUUGAGUACAGUAGAGGUGGGCGGAAUGCGUGGUGUAGCGGUGAAAUGCUUAGAUAUCACGAAGAACUCCGAUUGCGAAGGCAGCUUACUGGAGUGGAACUGACACUGAGGCUCGAAAGUGUGGGUAUCAAACAGGAUUAGAUACCCCGGUAGUC
Molecule: ribosomal RNA, 460 nt
Filed under: uncultured bacterium
Lineage: Bacteria
Description: partial 16S ribosomal RNA
Rfam family: Bacterial small subunit ribosomal RNA
Source: RNAcentral